This 74-nucleotide transfer RNA is filed under the name Lubomirskia incrustans. RNAcentral's name for it is "tRNA-Ile". It matches the Rfam family "tRNA". Rfam says of the family: Transfer RNA (tRNA) molecules are approximately 80 nucleotides in length. Their secondary structure includes four short double-helical elements and three loops (D, anti-codon, and T loops). Lineage: Eukaryota; Metazoa; Porifera; Demospongiae; Spongillida; Lubomirskiidae. The record is from RNAcentral.
AGGCUGAUAGCUUAUUAGGUAAAGCAUGUUGCUCAUAACAACAAAGUAGUUGGUUCAACUCCAACUCAGUCUAU